RNAcentral lists this long non-coding RNA (844 nucleotides) under Mytilus galloprovincialis (Mediterranean mussel). Lineage: Eukaryota; Metazoa; Mollusca; Bivalvia; Mytilida; Mytilidae. The record is from RNAcentral.
AAAAAAUAUAACAGAAAUAGUUUUUUUAUUAGCUAGCAUAGUAAGUAACAAAACAAGUUUCAAUAUUAAAGUUAAUCUCUGUUGGUCAACCAAAAUUUUCGGAAUCUCCUGUGACCUGUACUAUCGAAAAGCUUCAACACACGUUCUUUGUCAACUGUAUCACUCCUAUGCACAUGGAGCAUGGCAAGUCCACGACGACAUGUCAACCUACCUGGACACAUUAUUCUACCAAUUUUCAAGUCAUUGGUUUGAUCUACCGGUGUUCGAACCCACGACCUACCAGAAUCAAUGGAACACGCUAGAAUACAACCAGACAAUGCUGAUCAUAAUCAGAUUAAAAAAACGAAAAAAAUAUUUUCAAACAAUACCAAAAAUAUAUUUCAUACUUUUAUUAAAGAUAGAUAAAAAUCAUGAAUUGUUUUCUACAUUAAAGACUUCCAUGCUAGAAAGACGCUUCAUGAUUUUGUUUAAAUUAAUUAUGAAUAAUUAUUAUAUUUUUGGUCAAUGAAUUAUUUUAUCGAUUAGCAUUUGUUGUUCAGUGAGUUGAUAGUGUAGACAAUUGAUAACUAUAGCGUUAUCGAUUUAAAAAAUAAACCAAGGAAUAAGCCAGCAUACUUAUAGGGGUGUUUAUAAUCACGAGUUACCUUUUUCAUCUUUUUUUCUCUUUAAUAAAGAACCUGUCUUCAACCAGUUUUGUAACAACGACAUUAAGAUUUGUUUUUCUUUUUUUUUUUUAAUUUUGAUUUGUAUUCGGAACACUUUUUUAACCGUCACCGCUAUGGUAAAAGCUGCACUUGCUGCAGAUUGGACACACUGUAUGUAGUGUGACGGUAGAUAAUUUGAA